Molecule: non-coding RNA, 2959 nt
Organism: Cajanus cajan (pigeon pea)
Lineage: Eukaryota; Viridiplantae; Streptophyta; Magnoliopsida; Fabales; Fabaceae
Source: RefSeq, a predicted model, not a curated record
UUUUCCUUGGUUGAUGGUGCCUCGAUCUAUAUCCCUUUGUCGUUUCAUUUCCUUCAUCAAUCCUCCUCUGCUGCCUUUCCACUUUCCCCGAACAGAUCGUGUGUUCCCCGGCGACGAUUCUAGAACCUUCAUGACUCUUCCCACAGCCACACGCCUCUCCCUCUUCAUGGGGCAAAGCCCACUCAACCACAACCCCCAACAUGCCUGAACUCCGCACCAGAAUAAAACACCCAACACCAACGUUCCAUGCCCCAAGCUCAAGCCCAAGCCCAAGCCCAAACACCCUACCCCGCCAGGGGAGAACGAAAAGAGCUUCCGCUAACACCAGGAGGAACAAUCGGAACACGCUCAAACGUUGUGGAAUCGGUAACCGCGAAUUAGAAGAGAAACCACAACCACAACGACGACAACAACAACAACAAGAAGUUCCUCUGGUUAGGGUUUCCGAGGAGGAAGAGAAAGCGAUGGAUGAUGAGUACGACAGCGGCGGGGGCCGGAGCGGCGACAAGGCUCCGGCCGCCGAGGAAGAAGGGAGCACUGCUCCCAUUCCCGAGAGGGUUCAAGUAGGUGGUUCUCCGUUAUACAGAUUAGAUAGAAAACUUGGUAAGGGAGGGUUCGGACAAGUGUAUGUGGGUCGGCGACUUGGCGCCGGUGCUGGAGCGUUAGAGGUAGCUUUGAAGUUUGAACAUAGGAGCAGCAAGGGGUGCAAUUAUGGACCUCCUUAUGAGUGGCAAGUUUACAAUGCAUUAGGUGGUAGUCAUGGCGUUCCACGAGUUCAUUACAAGGGACGUCAAGGUGAUUACUAUGUUAUGGUUAUGGAUAUGCUUGGCCCUAGUCUGUGGGAUGUUUGGAACAAUAACUCAAACACGAUGUCUGCGGAAAUGGUAGCAUGUAUAGCAAUUGAGGCUAUCUCCAUAUUAGAGAAGAUACACUCUAAAGGAUAUGUGCACGGUGACGUAAAACCUGAGAAUUUUUUGCUUGGCACCCCGGGAACUCCUGACGAGAAGAAGCUUUUUCUGGUUGAUCUUGGUUUAGCAACUCGAUGGCGGGAUAGUUCGACAGGCUUUCAUGUUGAGUACGAUCAACGCCCAGAUGUAUUUAGGGGAACAGUUCGUUAUGCUAGUGUGCAUGCUCAUCUCGGUAGAACAGGUAGCAGGAGAGAUGAUUUGGAAUCUCUUGCUUACACGCUAAUCUUCCUUCUUCGUGGCCGGCUACCUUGGCAAGGAUACCAGGGAGAAAACAAAGGAUUUCUUGUCUGCAAGAAAAAGAUGGCCACCUCUCCAGAGACUUUGUGUUGUGUCUGUCCUCCACCUUUUAGGCAGUUUGUGGAGUACGUGGUGAAUUUGAAGUUUGAUGAAGAACCAAAUUAUGCCAAGUAUAUAUCACUUUUUGAUGGAAUUGUUGGUCCAAAUCCAGACAUCAGACCCAUAAACACUGAUGGUGCACAAAAGCUUAUAUAUAUGGUUGGACAUAAGAGAGGACGAUUGACUGUGGAAGAAGAUGAUGAUGAACAACCAAAGAAGAAGGUCAGAAUGGGAAUGCCAGCAAUGCAAUGGAUUAGUGUGUACAAUGCUCGCCGGCCAAUGAAGCAAAGGUACCAUUACAAUGUUGCUGACGUGCGGUUGUCCCAACACAUUGAGAAGGGAUACGAGGAUGGGUUAUUUAUCAGCAGUGUAGCUUGUUGUUCUAACCUUUGGGCUCUUAUUAUGGAUGCUGGCACGGGUUUUACUGCACAAGUUCAUGAACUCUCACCCAACUUUCUUCACAAGGAAUGGAUAAUGGAACAGUGGGAAAAGAAUUAUUACAUUAGUGCCAUAGCAGGAUCUAAUAAUGGGAGCUCAUUGGUUGUAAUGUCUAAAGGGACCCAAUACUUGCAGCAAUCCUAUAAAGUCAGUGAGUCAUUUCCAUUCAAAUGGAUCAAUAAAAAAUGGAGAGAAGGAUUUUAUGUCACUGCUAUGGCCACUGCUGGGAGUAGAUGGGCAAUUGUUAUGUCCCGUGGUGCUGGAUUUUCAGACCAGGUUGUGGAACUUGAUUUCCUGUAUCCUAGUGAAGGCAUUCAUCGGAGGUGGGACAAUGGCUACCGCAUCACUUCAACUGCUGCUACAUGGGACCAAGCUGCUUUUGUUCUUAGUGUUCCAAGAAGAAAACCUGCUGAUGAAACCCAAGAGACACUCCGUACAUCUGCCUUCCCUAGUACUCAUGUCAAGGAAAAAUGGUCUAAAAAUCUCUAUAUUGCAUCUAUAUGCUAUGGGAGAACAGUUUCAUAAACUGUGUAGUUUUUUGAGAUUUCGGCUGACUUCAUUUUGACUUCAUUCAUCAAAGUGUCUGCUCUUAGAUCUGCCAGUUCAGAAUUUGGAAACCCUCUCUGACAAGUUCACUGACCAAAGAGCUAUUCAGCUUUGAUGUAUGCUAAACCUUUCUUUAUGGACGUCAUCACUUGUGAUAUGAUACAAUACCUGUGCACUGUAUAUCAAGUAUUAGAAUGCUUAUGAGCAACUUUAGAUCUUUCUUGUUCUCUGGGAUGGGUCUUUUGAUAAAGAGAUUGUAGAGAUUUGAACAAUAAUUACUGCGUUGAAGGCAUUGUGUGCAGAAUACGCUCUUGAUUCUGAUGAGCAGUUGGGUAUCGUGGAAGCUCAGCUGUUGUGAUACUGUUAACGCUUUUGUUGUGCUUGACCAUAUUGAGUUGUAUAUCACCUGAAUCUUCUUGAACAUCUGAAGCAGAUAUGCCUGUAUAUCGAUGAUAUGUUUGAUGAUGUUCAUUUGGCCUGAUGGAACAAGGCUUCAGUUCCUGACAUUAUGGUGAUUUAUACUUGUUGGUUCAUACUAUGAUUAUGAUUGUGGAGCCACCCAUAUGUCAGUGGUGAAGCUGCUCAAGGAACUGGAGCUUUUGGAACUAUGUACUGUAUGUGAUUCUUUCAUUUUUCAAAUAGGUGAACCAUUUGUAGUAGAGUGGGGAAGG